This 72-nucleotide transfer RNA is filed under the name Hypomesus transpacificus. RNAcentral describes it as "tRNA-Thr". It matches the Rfam family "tRNA". Rfam says of the family: Transfer RNA (tRNA) molecules are approximately 80 nucleotides in length. Their secondary structure includes four short double-helical elements and three loops (D, anti-codon, and T loops). Further hydrogen bonds mediate the characteristic L-shaped molecular structure. tRNAs have two regions of fundamental functional importance: the anti-codon, which is responsible for specific mRNA codon recognition, and the 3' end, to which the tRNAs corresponding amino acid is attached (by aminoacyl-tRNA synthetases). tRNAs cope with the degeneracy of the genetic code in two manners: having more than one tRNA (with a specific anti-codon) for a particular amino acid; and 'wobble' base-pairing, i.e. permitting non-standard base-pairing at the 3rd anti-codon position. RNAcentral also lists the same sequence under 1 other name. The record is from RNAcentral. Lineage: Eukaryota; Metazoa; Chordata; Actinopteri; Osmeriformes; Osmeridae.
GCAUCAGAAGCUCAACGCCAGAGCGCCGGUCUUGUAAGCCGGAAGUUGGAGGUUAAAAUCCUCCCUUUUGCU